UAGGGGGGGAGACACUCCUCUCCGCACGCCAGCUUCUGCUCACUUGGCUGGCGUGGUCGGGUGCCUUGCUGGGCGUUUGUGGGCGUGUGUGGGCGUUGGGAUUCCGAAUGUUGGCCUGCAAACCCAGGCAAUGUGGCACGGUCGUGGGAAAUUCUCGACCCGAGACAGGUUAAAGUGAGCGUGGUUCUCGAGCCCUUCCCAGUCAUUUUUCCGAAAAGUCCUGGCUGCAGCCCUGACCAGGCAGGCGAUCAUGUAGCGGCCCUUUUCGAAUAUAUAUGGGGGGGGAGCAGCUCUCCACGCCAGUUUGACUCACUUUGGCUGGCGUUGGAGAGUGGUGCCUUGGGGGCUCCCCGCACCUGAUCGAAUUCUACCCGAGGCAAUGGGGCGUCAUCGCGCCGCUCCAUGGUUGAUUAGGAAAGUGGCCCGGCUGUGGGAAUGACAGCAGGUCAUGGAACUUCUCGACCCCAGACAGGACAAAGUGAGUGUGGUUCUCUCGCAUGCCCUUCGGACCAACGAACAAACCCUCCACCACCUUUGUGAUGGAUCUUUUGACUUUGGCCGGAAGGCUUGGGAGAGGGCCUUCCCGAAUGACCGAUCGGUCAUUCUUCCGAAAAGUCCUGGCUCAGCCCAGACCAGGCAGGUGGACGUGUAGCGGCCCUUUUCGAAAGUCCUGGCUCAGCGCAGACCAGGCAGGCGGACGUGUAGCGGCCCUUUUCGAAUAUGCAGGGGGAGAGCAGCUCUCCACGCCAGAUUUGACUUCACUUUGGCUGGCGUUGGAGAGUGGUGCCUUGGGGGCUCCCCGCACCUGAUCGAAUUCUACCCGAGGCAAUGGGGCGUCAUCGCGCCGCUCCAUGGUUGAUUAGGAAAGUGGCCCGGCUGUGGGAAUGACAGCAGGUCAUGGAACUUCUCGACCCCAGACAGGACAAAGUGAGUGUGGUUCUCUCGCAUGCCCUUCGGACCAACGAACAAACCCUCCACCACCUUUGUGAUGGAUCUUUUGACUUUGGCCGGAAGGCUUGGGAGAGGGCCUUCCCGAAUGACCGAUCGGUCAUUCUUCCGAAAAGUCCUGGCUCAGCCCAGACCAGGCAGGUGGACGUGUAGCGGCCCUUUUCGAAAGUCCUGGCUCAGCGCAGACCAGGCAGGCGGACGUGUAGCGGCCCUUUUCGAAUAUGCAGGGGGAGAGCAGCUCUCCACGCCAGAUUUGACUUCACUUUGGCUGGCGUUGGAGAGUGGUGCCUUGGGGGCUCCCCGCACCUGAUCGAAUUCUACCCGAGGCAAUGGGGCGUCAUCGCGCCGCUCCAUGGUUGAUUAGGAAAGUGGCCCGGCUGUGGGAAUGACAGCAGGUCAUGGAACUUCUCGACCCCAGACAGGACAAAGUGAGUGUGGUUCUCUCGCAUGCCCUUCGGACCAACGAACAAACCCUCCACCACCUUUGUGAUGGAUCUUUUGACUUUGGCCGGAAGGGUUGGGAGAGGGCCUUCCCGAAUGACCGAUCGGUCAUUCUUCCGAAAAGUCCUGGCUCAGCCCAGACCAGGCAGGCGAACGUGUAGCGGCCCUUUUCGAAAGUCCUGGCUCAGCCCAGACCAGGCAGGCGGACGUGUAGCGGCCCUUUUCGAAAGUCCUGGCUCAGCCCAGACCAGGCAAGCGUACUUGUUGCGGCCCUCUAUUCGAAUUUCCGUUCAUGCCUAGCGAUGCUUGGCAUUGCGUCACUUGAUGUUUCAUUGCCUGCUGCCAGUGGCAAGUGGGGGUGGACCGUCUCGUGGUGUGAUGUCUUGCGAACGUGAGGGUGUGUGAGUUGUGAUGAGGGUGUCCUUGUUGGCUGGCUCCAUGCCUUGUGCAUCGAACGGUCGAACAUGCAUCCUGUUCGUUUUGCUCCCGUUGCCUUGGGUGAUGAUGCCCGUUCAGUCCCUGUGUUGCCUACCUUCUAAACGGUAUACGUGUGGCCGGUUUUAGAAUUGUAUCCAUCCAGGCCUUCUCCGGUAGGUGUUGGAGGAUCCCAUCGUCUCGCACGCGUUCCAAAUGGGUGGCGUAAGAACCAUCUUCUUGGCUGCACGUGUUGGGACGGUUCUUUAGGAUGCGGUGAAUUACACGAACUCGGGUUUAGCGACCCGGGGACCAAAAAUCGGUUGCGUAGCUCGAUCGAGACACUGUGUUUGAACUUGUUGUGAGCAACAUCGUUCCUCACAAGCCGUCUUGUCGGGACGUGUCGGUUUGGUUUCGAAAGAGGGAACGACACCUUGAGCUGGCGCGUUUGGAACUGUGCAACGACUGUGGUUGGCCGCAACCCUGCGCGUGCAGCGCUCGGUCGUCAGCCACGAAUGCUACCUGGUUGAUCCUGCCAGUAGUCAUAUGCUUGUCUCAAAGAUUAAGCCAUGCAUGUGUAAGUAUGAACUAAUUCAGACUGUGAAACUGCGAAUGGCUCAUUAAAUCAGUUAUAGUUUGUUUGAUGGUAUCUACUACUCGGAUAACCGUAGUAAUUCUAGAGCUAAUACGUGCAACAAACCCCGACUUCUGGAAGGGAUGCAUUUAUUAGAUAAAAGGUCGAC
RNAcentral lists this precursor RNA (2546 nucleotides) under Vigna radiata var. radiata (mung bean). RNAcentral describes it as "partial precursor RNA". The stretch from base 2323 to 2546 matches the Rfam family "Eukaryotic small subunit ribosomal RNA", at positions 1 to 226 of the family's 1831-position model. The record is from RNAcentral. Lineage: Eukaryota; Viridiplantae; Streptophyta; Magnoliopsida; Fabales; Fabaceae.